Diprion similis is the source of this 151-nucleotide long non-coding RNA. RefSeq lists it as uncharacterized. The transcript has 3 exons. Lineage: Eukaryota; Metazoa; Arthropoda; Insecta; Hymenoptera; Diprionidae. The record is from RefSeq and is a predicted model, not a curated record.
CGCCGACUACUAAACCGCAACUAUUAUAUAACCGCGAGUUCAUCUAUUGUGUGUAUAUUUUGUGCCUGUUUAAGGUAGGACAUCAAGUUUUAGGUUAUGUGAGGCGUGGUUUUCCUUUACUUUACGAUAUAUGUAUGUAUGCACAUGUAUA